UGGGGGAUAUUGGACAAUGGGGGGAACCCUGAUCCAGCGACGCCGCGUGAGUGAAGAAGUAUCUCGGUAUGUAAAGCUCUAUCAGCAGGGAAGAAAGAAAUGACGGUACCUGAGUAAGAAGCCCCGGCUAACUACGUGCCAGCAGCCGCGGUAAUACGUAGGGGGCAAGCGUUAUCCGGAAUUACUGGGUGUAAAGGGAGCGUAGACGGUGAAGUAAGUCUGGAGUGAAAGGCGGGGGCCCAACCCCCGGACUGCUCUGGAAACUAUUUGACUGGAGUGCAGGAGAGGUAAGCGGAAUUCCUA
Molecule: ribosomal RNA, 303 nt
Filed under: uncultured bacterium
Lineage: Bacteria
Description: bacterial SSU rRNA
Rfam family: Bacterial small subunit ribosomal RNA
Source: RNAcentral